GCUACCAUGAAGUGAACAGCCUCCUCCUCCACUACCCACAAUCACCAUGAUAUACUUUGCUACCACAGGCCCAAAGCAACAGGGCCAAGCAACCAUGAACUGGAACCUCUGAAACUAUUUCAUGGGGAGACAGUUACUGUCUUGCCUAUGAUGAAGAUAGCAGAAGAACAUGAACAAGAAAAGAAAUAUCCCCUAUCUAAAGGAACACUGUAAGCACUUGGAAAGAGAAGACAGCAGUCUGCAAUGACCUUGAUGAUUACUGCUGAAUCAAACCUUGCCAGCAGAAUCUGAAGAACACAGUUUUCUUCUUGAGUUAGAUUCUUGCUAUGUUGUCCAGGCUGCCAUCAAACUUCUGGGCUCAAAAAAAUCCUCCUGCUUCAGCCUCCUGAGUACCUGGGACAGAGGGAGCUGGCUUAAAAUUUCUAAGUAAUGUUGACAACGUGACUUGGUGUCUCUGGUGUGCUUAUACUAAAAUGUACAAAGACAAAGAUAACUUAAAAAUGGAAUUGUUAACCAAAAAACAAGCAGAACUUAAAAACAGAAAAUUUUCUCAGCCUAUCCAUACAGAAAAAAAUUAGUAAGAGAAAACAAAGGUGUGGUCAAGUGACCAUCAGAUAAGGAGAUUAGUACAGAGCAGUCAUCUCAGUGGAAGCCAGGUGUUAUUCACCAAGACAUCAAGAAGAACCUCAAAGGUAACUGAGAAAUCAUCAGGACUGCCACGCCAUUACAGACCCCAAAUUCAAAAGCUGUAGCAAGGAGUAAAUCACGCAUGCUGACAAUGUCAGCAACAUUCUAUCACACAGUUUAGGAAAAUAAUAAUAAUGUAAACCAAAUGUGGUAAGAUAUUAACAAUGUCAAAGUUACUGUUCUUUCAUUAAACUUCUCCGAAUGUUUCAA
Marmota monax (woodchuck) is the source of this 897-nucleotide long non-coding RNA. RefSeq lists it as uncharacterized. The transcript is spliced from 3 exons. The record is from RefSeq and is a predicted model, not a curated record. NCBI's taxonomy places the organism in Eukaryota, Metazoa, Chordata, Mammalia, Rodentia, Sciuridae.